RNAcentral lists this unclassified non-coding RNA (575 nucleotides) under Bombus terrestris (buff-tailed bumblebee). Its description in RNAcentral is "misc RNA ENSBTSG00005029189.1". The record is from RNAcentral. Lineage: Eukaryota; Metazoa; Arthropoda; Insecta; Hymenoptera; Apidae.
AAGAACACCACUAGCUUGUUUAUUUAUAAGUCUGAUGUCACGACUGAUGAACAGUGAACAAAUUGUAAACACGGUACUGUUAGUCACAACUACACAGACCGAAUAAUUGUCUUCGUAAAGUGAAUAUUAUCUAGGAAAAUUCUUAUGACGCAACAUAGAAUGCAGAAGCAUUGUGUACGUUAUCUUAAUAUUGUUCUUAGCACUGUACUAUUGAUAACUCCGGGAUACCUCUCUUUGGGAAUUAAACCAGUUUCUUAUCUGCCUCGGUCUAUUAACACGACCAGACAACCGUAAUUUAUCAGACGAUUUCACAAGAGCAAUUUUUCGCACGGCAACCUCGUCAUUGUUCCAUCUUUCGAAUCGAAGGAAAUUCUCCCGCGGCGAAUUAAAUCUAACACAAGACGAUUAUAGUAUCAGCGGCGCGUAAACUUCGUUUUUGCAUGCCGUCUAACUUUCGUGCUACAUUUCAAGAGCUUUCUUCCAACCAGGACUUAUUGCAGAUAUAAUUUACCUUGUCUUUUAUGUAUAACUGUUGCUUUGCAUACUUAGAGGCGCGAAUUGAAAAGUUAAGGUAC